Molecule: unclassified non-coding RNA, 336 nt
Filed under: soil metagenome
Description: partial contains 5.8S ribosomal RNA, internal transcribed spacer 2, and large subunit ribosomal RNA
Rfam family: 5.8S ribosomal RNA (bases 1-121)
Source: RNAcentral
GAUGAAGAAACGUAGCGAAAUGCGAUAAGUAGUGUGAAUUGCAGAAUUCAGUGAAUCAUUGAAUCUUUGAACGCACAUUGCGCCCUAUGGUAUUCUGUAGGGCAUGCCUGUUCGAGCGUUAUUUAGACCCUCAAGCUGUGCUUGGUGUUGGGCGCCUUGUCCCUCAUAAGAAUGGACUUGCCUUAAAAUUAUUGGCGACCUUCAGGUUGGUUUAAAGCGCAGCACAACGCGUUAAAUAAGCCUUCCUGUUGGCAUCACCCAUAAAGCUUUUUUUAAGCUUGACCUCGGAUCAGGUAGGGAUACCCGCUGAACUUAAGCAUAUCAAUAAGCGGAGGA